CCUACGGGAGGCAGCAGUGGGGAAUAUUGGACAAUGGGCGAAAGCCUGAUCCAGCAAUGCCGCGUGAGUGAUGAAGGCCUUAGGGUUGUAAAGCUCUUUUACCCGGGAAGAUAAUGACUGUACCGGGAGAAUAAGCCCCGGCUAACUCCGUGCCAGCAGCCGCGGUAAUACGGAGGGGGCUAGCGUUAUUCGGAAUUACUGGGCGUAAAGCGCACGUAGGCGGCUGUUCAAGUCAGAGGUGAAAGCCCGGAGCUCAACUCCGGAACUGCCUUUGAAACUAGAUAGCUAGAAUCACGGAGAGGUAAGUGGAAUUCCGAGUGUAGAGGUGAAAUUCGUAGAUAUUCGGAAGAACACCAGUGGCGAAGGCGGCUUACUGGACGUGUAUUGACGCUGAGGUGCGAAAGCGUGGGGGGCAAACAGGAUUAGAUACCCUGGUAGUCCACGCCGUAAACGAUGAUAACUAGUUGUCGGGGCUCUUAGAGCUUCGGUGACGCAGCUAACGCAUUAAGUUAUCCGCCUGGGGAGUACGGUCGCAAGNUUAAAACUCAAAAGUAGUAUUACGGACGGCGAGAGACGCGACGACGACGACGACGGAGGAGAG
Molecule: ribosomal RNA, 601 nt
Filed under: uncultured bacterium
Lineage: Bacteria
Description: bacterial SSU rRNA
Rfam family: Bacterial small subunit ribosomal RNA
Source: RNAcentral